This 449-nucleotide ribosomal RNA is filed under the name uncultured bacterium. Its description in RNAcentral is "partial 16S ribosomal RNA". It matches the Rfam family "Bacterial small subunit ribosomal RNA", at positions 329 to 794 of the family's 1533-position model. The record is from RNAcentral.
UGCCAGACUCCUACGGGAGGCAGCAGUGGGGAAUAUUGCACAAUGGGGGAAACCCUGAUGCAGCGACGCCGCGUGAGCGAUGAAGUAUUUCGGUAUGUAAAGCUCUAUCAGCAGGGAAGAAAAUGACGGUACCUGAGUAAGAAGCCCCGGCUAACUACGUGCCAGCAGCCGCGGUAAUACGUAGGGGGCAAGCGUUAUCCGGAGUUACUGGGUGUAAAGGGAGCGUAGACGGCCAGACAAGUCUGAAGUGAAAAUCCAGCGCUUAACGCUGGAAGUGCUUUGGAAACUGCCGGGCUGGAGUGCAGGAGGGGCAGGCGGAAUUCCUAGUGUAGCGGUGAAAUGCGUAGAUAUUAGGAGGAACACCAGUGGCGAAGGCGGCCUGCUGGACGACAACUGACGGUGAGGCGCGAAAGCGUGGGGAGCAAACAGGAUUAGAUACCCCCGUACAU